CCUACGGGAGGCAGCAGCCGGGAAUUUUGGGCAAUGGGCGAAAGCCUGACCCAGCAACGCCGCGUGAAGGAUGAAAUCCCUCGGGAUGUAAACUUCGCAAGAACGGGAAGAAUAAGUUUGUGCUAAUACCACAAGCGAUGACGGUACUGUUUGUAAGCUCCGGCUAACUCCGUGCCAGCAGCCGCGGUAAU
This 191-nucleotide ribosomal RNA is filed under the name uncultured bacterium. Its description in RNAcentral is "partial 16S ribosomal RNA". It matches the Rfam family "Bacterial small subunit ribosomal RNA", at positions 338 to 524 of the family's 1533-position model. The record is from RNAcentral.